Molecule: ribosomal RNA, 435 nt
Filed under: uncultured bacterium
Lineage: Bacteria
Description: partial 16S ribosomal RNA
Rfam family: Bacterial small subunit ribosomal RNA
Source: RNAcentral
AACGAACGCUGGCGGCAGGCCUAACACAUGCAAGUCGAGCGGACAUCUUCGGAUGUUAGCGGCGGACGGGUGCGUAACGCGUGGGAACGUGCCCUUUGCUUCGGAAUAGCCUCGGGAAACUGGGAGUAAUACCGGAUGUACCCUUUGGGGGAAAGAUUUAUCGGCAAAGGAUCGGCCCGCGUUGGAUUAGGUAGUUGGUGGGGUAAUGGCCUACCAAGCCGCCGAUCCAUAGCUGGGUUGAGAGGAUGAUCAGCCACACUGGGACUGAGACACGGCCCAGACUCCUACGGGAGGCAGCAGUGGGGAAUCUUAGACAAUGGGGGAAACCCUGAUCUAGCCAUGCCGCGUGAGCGAUGAAGGCCUUAGGGUUGUAAAGCUCUUUCACCGGGGAAGAUAAUGACGGUACCCGGAGAAGAAGCCCCGGCUAACUCCGUG